This is a long non-coding RNA of Sphaeramia orbicularis (orbiculate cardinalfish), 156 nucleotides long. RefSeq lists it as uncharacterized. Lineage: Eukaryota; Metazoa; Chordata; Actinopteri; Kurtiformes; Apogonidae. The transcript is spliced from 3 exons. The record is from RefSeq and is a predicted model, not a curated record.
ACUGUCACACACGCACAAAUGGGCAGUUGAUCCAGUAGUGACAGGCAGCAGAACCACCCAAAUAAAGACAGAAGACGCUAAACAGUACGUUGGCCCUCUGGAUGGAAAUAUGAGGACAAAAAAAACAAGACGGAACAGGUGGGGGUGGACCUGGUG